This 508-nucleotide ribosomal RNA is filed under the name Limnonectes sp. su STH-2025. RNAcentral's name for it is "partial large subunit ribosomal RNA". It matches the Rfam family "Bacterial large subunit ribosomal RNA", at positions 1928 to 2603 of the family's 2925-position model. Lineage: Eukaryota; Metazoa; Chordata; Amphibia; Anura; Dicroglossidae. The record is from RNAcentral.
CGGCCGCAGUACCCUGACCGCGCAAAGGUAGCAUAAUCAUUUGUUCUUUAAAUAAGGACCUGUAUCAACGGCAUCACGAGGGCUAUACUGUCUCCCCUCUUUAAUCAGUGAAACUGACUUCCCCGUGAAGAGGCGGGGAUAAACAUACAAGACGAGAAGACCCCAUGGAGCUUUAAACCCAAUAAUAACCUUUAUCUCCUCACUCCUACAAAGAUAUAAAAACAUUAUAUAUUGGUUUUAGGUUGGGGCAACCACGGAGUAAAACUUAACCUCCUUGACGAAUGAAUUAAAUCCUAAUCUAAGAGCCACUGCUCUAAUAAUCAACAAUUUGACGUAACAUGAUCCGAUAAUCGAUCAACGAACCAAGUUACCCUGGGGAUAACAGCGCAAUCCAUUUCAAGAGCCCUUAUCGACAAAUGGGUUUACGACCUCGAUGUUGGAUCAGGGUAUCCCAGUGGUGCAACCGCUACUAAAGGUUUGUUUGUUCAACAAUUAAUACCCUACGUGA